AACAGGAGAGUGACAAAUUAGAUUUUUCCUCCUGAUUUUUAGCUUUUUUCUCCAAAAAAAAUUCAAAUCCAACUAAGAAAGUUAAAAAUUAAGAGAAAAAAUCUGAUUUGUCAUACUCCCAUU
Molecule: microRNA precursor, 123 nt
Filed under: Gossypium hirsutum (cotton)
Lineage: Eukaryota; Viridiplantae; Streptophyta; Magnoliopsida; Malvales; Malvaceae
Description: MIR7504 microRNA precursor family
Rfam family: MIR7504 microRNA precursor family
Source: Rfam by way of RNAcentral